This 253-nucleotide ribosomal RNA is filed under the name uncultured bacterium. RNAcentral's name for it is "partial 16S ribosomal RNA". It matches the Rfam family "Bacterial small subunit ribosomal RNA", at positions 524 to 776 of the family's 1533-position model. The record is from RNAcentral.
UACGAAGGGGGCUAGCGUUGUUCGGAUUUACUGGGCGUAAAGCGCACGUAGGCGGAUCUUUAAGUCAGAGGUGAAAUCCCAAGGCUCAACCUUGGAACUGCCUUUGAUACUGGGGAUCUUGAGUCCGGGAGAGGUGAGUGGAACUGCGAGUGUAGAGGUGAAAUUCGUAGAUAUUCGCAAGAACACCAGUGGCGAAGGCGGCUCACUGGUCCGAUACUGACGCUGAGGCACGAAAGCGUGGGGAGCAAACAGG